Molecule: microRNA, 22 nt
Filed under: Caenorhabditis briggsae
Lineage: Eukaryota; Metazoa; Nematoda; Chromadorea; Rhabditida; Rhabditidae
Description: cbr-miR-359
Gene: cbr-miR-359
Source: miRBase by way of RNAcentral
UCACUGGUUAUCCUCUGUCGAA